UGUAUUGAUUUUUAAUGAAGUGUGGUAAGUAACUUGCAUCAGUGAAUCCACUCUUCUGCGUCUUGAGAGUAGUAAAAGCCAUCAUAAAUAACACCAAACGUGAAUUUGUUCGAUUGAACAUUCGGAGUCAGCCAAGCGUUAAAUCUGCCCAAAACCACUAGAAGAAGUAGCCGGGUAGAACUGCCUUCAGAUAAGACGACGCCCUAUGACCCUGAACACUUUAAUCCUGACGGCUCACUUCGAACUGUGCACCGGUUGCCAGGUUUUGAACAAGCUUAUGCUCAGGCGCAGAAGGCAAGAUACAUUCGUCAUAGAACUGCCAUGGACAAAGAGAAAGAAUUAAGUGUUAACCAGAUUUUCGACAAGUCCUAGCUUCCCUGGCCAAAACAAAUGUUACGUUUUUCAAAGUAGUCAGUAUUGAUGAUGUGGGAAAAUAUAUUUGGUUUUAUAAGCAAAUAGAUUAUUUUGUUAUGUUAUUAAUAAAUGAAUGAAUUUUUCAAAAAUAUUUUAUCGAUGCAACCGUCACGUGAAGAAAGCUCUAGAAAUAAUUGUAUGAUUUGACCUUUGGUUUCACGUUUUUACUCUACUUCCUCGCUAGAUCUAUUCGUUUCAUUAUGUUGUUCAUCUCCAUUUCUUUUCCAUUUGCUGCUGUCCUUAUAUCCGUUAAUUCAUCUUUUAUUGUCUUCCCACCAUUUCUCUUGGGCUCAUCUUCGCGUCUCGAGAAGUGGAAAACUGCGCGUUCUUAGUAGACUAGAUCUACACAGUGCCAUCUUAUGCUUAAAAAGUUACAUUAAUCUACAGAAGUCACAAAAAGUCAUUAGGAUACUUUGACGUGCCAGUAAAUCACCUACCACGCUAUCUCUACAGUCUACAAGGUCUUGAUUAGCCUGUGGAAACUUUGUCGUCUGUCUGUAGUAUAAUAUGUUAUCCUUGCAAGGUCCUGAUUAGCCUGUGGGUACUUAGACCAUUAGCCAUUCUAUCCUUAUAAAAGUUUGUUUCUAAUAAAGUAAUAUUCUAGAGCAGUGGUGUCUAACCUUUUUCUGCCUUGGAGCUGUAUAAAUGUAAACUUGGGUGAAAUCAUUUUACGUGUUGAAAUUCCACUUUUUUUUCCCCAGUUAUACCAAUAGGUUCCCUAAUUUGCAUAAAGUUAACUGAAAAGUGUAAGUUCAUUUUUGAAAGUCACUGACAUACAUUUCACAGUAUAUAUCCACCAGGGGCGGACUGGGUGUCAAAAUCGGUCCGGGCAUUUCUAUAAAAUUCGGCCCACAAAUUCUCUAUCAUGUGAUGGGCAUUCAUUUCUAGGUGUAUCGGUCCUUAAAAAUCAUUGUUAAGUUUGAUAAUAUAUCGAUAUGCAUGCAUACAGUGAACUCUAUAUAGAGCAAUAUAGAGUCUUUUUAAAUCAGCAAUUAUGUAGGCCCUAAUAGAUGAAGCCUACUAGUAGCACUGUCUACAUUCUACAUUUUAUUUUCGGAAAAUGUGUUCGAUUAAAUAGUAUUACACUGCAAUGUCUGGGAAAGAUUAUUUUUUAAACACAACGCUCAACGCGCCUUUUAUAAAAAUAAUGAUAAUAACAUAAUAAGAAUAUUAUAAAACCUUUAACAACUUGAUAUGUGCCAUAGUGACUUCGAUCAGGCCAUUUCGGUGGCCCUACCGGCCCAUUUGGGUACCGGCCCACAGGGCAUUUGCCCAAAUAGCCAGUCCGCCCCUGAGAUCCACAGUAUAAAAUCCACAGAUGUGGUUCAUUGAAGUUUAUAAUAGUAUACUUUACACUCAGUGGACGUAUCAAUAUUUGUUUCAAUAUAAAUGUUUUAAUAGUAUUAUAUAUAUAAAAGUGUUCAUUGAACAUACACGAUUGCUUCCUUAUGUAAUUAUUGGUCUGUUCAAUGUUCUAUAUUUUAAAGAUUUUCAUUUUAAACCAAUUAAUUACUCUUUAAAAAAAUGCUUGUGAUAAUGAAAAGUUAUGUAUUAAAUUCUGUCACUGUUUAUAAUGUCAGAGAGCUAUUGGUUGAGUUCUAAACAGCAGUCUAGUUAUGCCCUGAGAAUUGAGUUCUAAACAGGAGUUUAGCUAUGUCCUGAGAAUUGAGUUCUAAACAGCAGUCUAGUUAUGUCCUGAGAAUUGAGUUCUAAACAGCAGUCUAGUUAUGUUCUGAGAAUUGAGUUCUAAACAGCAGUCUAGUUAUGUCCUGAGAAUUGAGUUCUAAACAGCAGUCUAGUUAUGUCCUGAGAAUUGAGUUCUAAACAGCAGUCUAGUUAUGUCCUGAGAAUUGAGUUCUAAACAGCAGUCUAGUUAUGUCCUGAGAAUUGAGUUCUAAACAGCAGUCUAGUUAUGUCCUGAGAAUUGAGUUCUAAACAGGAGUCUAGUUAUGUCCUGAGAAUUGAGUUCUAAACAGGAGUCUAGUUAUGUCCUGAGAAUUGAGUUCUAAACAGCAGUCUAGUUAUGUCCUGAGAAUUGAGUUCUAAACAGCAGUCUAGUUAUGUCCUGAGAAUUGAGUUCUAAACAGCAGUCUAGUUAUGUCCUGAGAAUUGAGUUCUAAACAGCAGUCUAGUUAUGUCCUGAGAAUUGAGUUCUAAACAGGAGUCUAGUUAUGUCCUGAGAAUUGAGUUCUAAACAGCAGUCUAGUUAUGUCCUGAGAAUUGAGUUCUAAACAGGAGUCUAGUUAUGUCCUGAGAAUUGAGUUCUAAACAGGAGUCUAGUUAUGUCCUGAGAAUUGAGUUCUAAACAGCAGUCUAGUUAUGUCCUGAGAAUUGAGUUCUAAACAGCAGUCUAGUUAUGUCCUGAGAAUUGAGUUCUAAACAGCAGUCUAGUUAUGUCCUGAGAAUUGAGUUCUAAACAGGAGUCUAGUUAUGCCCUGAGAAUUGAGUUCUAAACAGCAGUCUAGUUAUGUCCUGAGAAUUGAGUUCUAAACAGCAGUCUAGUUAUGUCCUGAGAAUUGAGUUCUAAACAGCAGUCUAGUUAUGUCCUGAGAAUUGAGUUCUAAACAGCAGUCUAGUUAUGUCCUGAGAAUUGAGUUCUAAACAGGAGUCUAGUUAUGUCCUGAGAAUUGAGUUCUAAACAGGAGUCUAGUUAUGUCCUGAGAAUUGAGUUCUAAACAGCAGUCUAGUUAUGUCCUGAGAAUUGAGUUCUAAACAGCAGUCUAGUUAUGUCCUGAGAAUUGAGUUCUAAACAGCAGUCUAGUUAUGUCCUGAGAAUUGAGUUCUAAACAGCAGUCUAGUUAUGUCCUGAGAAUUGAGUUCUAAACAGGAGUCUAGUUAUGCCCUGAGAAUUGAGUUCUAAACAGCAGUCUAGUUAUGUCCUGAGAAUUGAGUUCUAAACAGCAGUCUAGUUAUGUCCUGAGAAUUGAGUUCUAAACUGGAGUCUAGUUAUGCCCUGAGAAUUGAGUUCUAAACAGGAGUUUAGCUAUGUCCUGAGAAUUGAGUUCUAAACUGGAGUCUAGCUAUGCCCUGAGAAUUGAGUUCUAAACAGGAGUUUAGCUAUGUCCUGAGAAUUGAGUUCUAAACAGGAGUUUAGCUAUGUCCUGAGAAUUGAGUUCUAAACAGGAGUUUAGCUAUGUCCUGAGAAUUGAGUUCUAAACUGGAGUCUAGUUAUGCCCUGAGAGUUGAAAAGUAUUGUCAUUAAGAGAACAUCUCUGUGUUCAUGACUGUUAAACUGCACUUCAAUGUCAACAUUAAACUUUACAGGCUAAAUAGAAAAAAAAAGAUAUCUGUUAUUCUAUUUCAUUUCAUAAUGCACCGACUUCUUGUGUGAUUUUUGUUGUUAUUUUGUUUUGAAUAAAAUAGAUUGAGAAAUUC
Biomphalaria glabrata is the source of this 3789-nucleotide long non-coding RNA. RefSeq lists it as uncharacterized. Lineage: Eukaryota; Metazoa; Mollusca; Gastropoda; Planorbidae. The record is from RefSeq and is a predicted model, not a curated record. The transcript is spliced from 3 exons.